Molecule: small nuclear RNA, 107 nt
Filed under: Propithecus coquereli (Coquerel's sifaka)
Lineage: Eukaryota; Metazoa; Chordata; Mammalia; Primates; Indriidae
Source: RNAcentral
GUGUUCACUUCGGCAGCAUGUAUGCUAAAAUUGGAAUGAUACAGAGAAGAUUAGCAUGGCCCCUGUGCAGGGAUGAUACACAAAUUAAUGAAACAUUCCAUAUUUUC